RNAcentral lists this ribosomal RNA (423 nucleotides) under Biomphalaria sp. CJS-2010. Its description in RNAcentral is "partial 16S ribosomal RNA". The record is from RNAcentral. Lineage: Eukaryota; Metazoa; Mollusca; Gastropoda; Planorbidae.
UAGUUUAAGGAAAUAAUCUUAAAUGUAUUCUGCCCAAUGAUUUUUAUUAAAUGGCCGCAGUACCUUGACUGUGCUAAGGUAGCAUAAUCAAUUGGCUUCUAAUUAAAGUCUGGAAUGAAAGGAAAAAUGAAGUAAUUCUGUCUUAAAAAAUUUUUUUUAAAUUUAUUUAAAUGAUGAAAAUAUCAUUUUUUAGAAAAAAGACGAGAAGACCCUUAGAGUUUUUAUUAUUUUUUUUGUUGGGGCGACAAGUAAACAAUUUAAACUUUACAUUUUUUUUAAAUCGAUUUAAUAAUAAGAUUAAUUAAACUACCUUAGGGAUAACAGCAUUAUAUUAUAUAUUGAUUGUGACCUCGAUGUUGGACUAAGGAACUUUAUGGCUAGCCGUCAUAAAAGAUUUGUUCUGUUCGAACAAUUUUAUCCUAC